GAUUGAACGCUGGCGGCAGGCCUAACACAUGCAAGUCGAGCGGAUGAAGGGAGCUUGCUCCUGGAUUCAGCGGCGGACGGGUGAGUAAUGCCUAGGAAUCUGCCUGGUAGUGGGGGAUAACGUCCGGAAACGGGCGCUAAUACCGCAUACGUCCUGAGGGGGAAAGUGGGGGAUCUUCGGACCUCACGCUAUCAGAUGAGCCUAGGUCGGAUUAGCUAGUUGGUGGGGUAAAGGCCUACCAAGGCGACGAUCCGUAACUGGUCUGAGAGGAUGAUCAGUCACACUGGAACUGAGACACGGUCCAGACUCCUACGGGAGGCAGCAGUGGGGAAUAUUGGACAAUGGGCGAAAGCCUGAUCCAGCCAUGCCGCGUGUGUGAAGAAGGUCUUCGGAUUGUAAAGCACUUUUAGUUGGGAGGAAGAGCAGUAAAUUAAUACCUUGCUGUUUUGACGUUACCAACAGAAUAAGCACCGGCUAACUUCGUG
This 485-nucleotide ribosomal RNA is filed under the name uncultured bacterium. RNAcentral describes it as "partial 16S ribosomal RNA". It matches the Rfam family "Bacterial small subunit ribosomal RNA", at positions 27 to 507 of the family's 1533-position model. The record is from RNAcentral.